Trematomus bernacchii (emerald rockcod) is the source of this 207-nucleotide long non-coding RNA. RefSeq lists it as uncharacterized. The record is from RefSeq and is a predicted model, not a curated record. NCBI's taxonomy places the organism in Eukaryota, Metazoa, Chordata, Actinopteri, Perciformes, Nototheniidae. The transcript has 3 exons.
GCCAGACUCCAUUUCACACUUCGACAGAGCAGCAGGAGGAAAACAGGCAGUGUUACUGGUUGAUCUCUCAGACUGGAGAAGAUGAGUGAUUGUCUGUCUCUGAAGAGUGACCGGUCUGAAGAGGAACUUCCAGACUUCAGUGAUGAACCUGGACCCUCAGACAGGAAAGGGAAGAGGAAUAGACGUGUUCCUGUGGAGGAGCAGUUG